GUUGGUGUAGCUCAGUGGGCGAGCACUCUGCUUCAUGAUAGCGAGUGAAGGGAGUUCGAGUCUCCCCGCCAACC
Molecule: transfer RNA, 74 nt
Filed under: Marseillevirus LCMAC202
Lineage: Varidnaviria; Bamfordvirae; Nucleocytoviricota; Megaviricetes; Pimascovirales; Marseilleviridae
Description: tRNA-Met
Rfam family: tRNA
About the family: Transfer RNA (tRNA) molecules are approximately 80 nucleotides in length. Their secondary structure includes four short double-helical elements and three loops (D, anti-codon, and T loops). Further hydrogen bonds mediate the characteristic L-shaped molecular structure. tRNAs have two regions of fundamental functional importance: the anti-codon, which is responsible for specific mRNA codon recognition, and the 3' end, to which the tRNAs corresponding amino acid is attached (by aminoacyl-tRNA synthetases). tRNAs cope with the degeneracy of the genetic code in two manners: having more than one tRNA (with a specific anti-codon) for a particular amino acid; and 'wobble' base-pairing, i.e. permitting non-standard base-pairing at the 3rd anti-codon position.
Source: RNAcentral